Molecule: unclassified non-coding RNA, 240 nt
Filed under: soil metagenome
Description: partial contains 5.8S ribosomal RNA, internal transcribed spacer 2, and large subunit ribosomal RNA
Source: RNAcentral
AACGCACGAGACCUGCGGACCUGCGGAAGGAUCAUUACUGUUGAAACGUCUCGGCCAGUCGUGUCCCGCAUUGGGGCCUUCUGCGCCAGCGUUUAGCACCCUUGAUUUUGAGCACCUUUUGUUUCCUCGGCGGGUUCGCCCGCCAGCGAGGACCCCCAUGAACUCUUUGUAAUAGCAAUCUUUGUCUGAAAUACAAACAAUAAUCAAAACUUUUAACAAUGGAUCUCUAGAUCGGAAGAG